Ictalurus punctatus (channel catfish) is the source of this 2097-nucleotide long non-coding RNA. RefSeq lists it as uncharacterized. The record is from RefSeq and is a predicted model, not a curated record. Lineage: Eukaryota; Metazoa; Chordata; Actinopteri; Siluriformes; Ictaluridae. The transcript is spliced from 4 exons.
UUUUGUUCUGUCUGUGAUUUUGUAGAUCUGGAUGUUCAGCUGGUCUCAGAUCAAGCAUCCUCCUCUGUACUGACUCCACUAUCCCCAGCUUCAUCCCAUUCAUCAGAUUCCACAAUUGUCCUGGAGUCCAGCAAGAAAGAGGAGGAACCCAACAGGGUUAAUGGAGCAGAAUGAAGCAAGACAGGUAAGCUUUGAAUAAAUGCAUUUAAAAUCCUCAAUUACAUAAUUGUUUAUUAUUGAUACUUAUCUGUAGAAGUGUUUUGUAAAUGUAUUCUCGACAUAAAGGAAAGGCAUUAAAAAUCCUCUUAAAUUUCCAUGAGCAUGUCAUAACAAUGUAAGAUGUUUUGGCAGAAAGUUGAUUGUGUUCUGAGGGUCAAUCCAAAGGGUGAGGAAAUCUUCAAGGAGUAUGAAAAGACCAAAACAUUAGCAGAUGUCACACAUAAACAGAUGGUGAACGCCAUUUCUUGCAAAACAUACACACUUGCAAAGUAAACUGAUUUAUUUUGAAAGGAGGAUUCCAUCCUCAAGUGUGAGGACCAAUUAUGCACUGGGAAUUGUGACACUUUUUCCAUACCUCCAAGAUCCUUUCUCCAAACAUGGAUAUGAACACUACUAUGAUCCUUUAGGGUAAUACUGGCUUCAUUGCAUGGAGGAUCAAGACAGUUCAACAUAACACCUGUGCUGGCUCCCGGUGUCAUUCCAAGACUGUUCUUCAGGAUGGUCCAAAAACCAGACGAGAAUCUCUGUUAUUCUGUCAACAGCGAUUUGGUGAGGAGUGCAGGGAGGCGAUAUCUACAAUACGAUAUUCCACUGAUGAAUCUGUGGUCAAAGAGAAGAUGAGAGCGACUUUCCAGUAUCGGCAGAAGAUGGUCGGUGAGGAUGCAUCAUCUUCAGUCCUGGAUUUGUUCACUCGUUUCCUUGCUGUAUCUGGAUUGGUAAGAAAAUAUUUAGCUUUGGAAGUAGUUUUGAAAAGGAAAUGACCUUCUCUGUAGUUAUUAAAUGAGUUCACUGGUACAGCAGAGAAAGGAGUUGUUCAAUGAUCACCAUAACAACAACAGGCCGGUCCAAACUGAGAAAUUCAACGUUCUAAUCUUUUAUAUCCCAAAUGUAUGCAUAAAUAACACAGCAGAUCUUAAUUUUUAGUAUUUGACCUUUUAUCCAUUUAUGUCCGUUAUGUUUAAACCUGUAUAAACCUUAUUUAAAGAUCGACCAGGAUUACUCCAUGAUGUUUGGUGACGAAGUGUCCAAGAAGUUCCUGGCAAAGUGGUCAAUAUUCUUCAAGCCAAACAUCAUUGCAGACUGCAAGACUCUUAAGAAUAUGGGCGAGCUGCUGUCAGGAACUGAACCUGAAUCUGAGGACUACAAUGGAUGGGACAGCGAUAUGUCCUCAAUCCUUUUGCAGCUGCAUCUGCUCCCUCCAACCUCAAGAGGCCAGAAAAAAAAAUAUCCAAGAUCAGUUCAGCUCAAGCAACCAGCCAUCUUGUGAGCUAUCUUAAGGAAGGAGCCAGUGUGACUACCUUCAUUGAGAGUGCUGACACAAGACAACCAUUCCUCCUCUGUAUCAGUGAGCGAAAGAAGGAUAUCCCAAAGUUCUACAUUAUUAUCGACCCAAAACUGAUCCCAUGUAAGGCGCACACGUCAGUGGCAGCUUUUGAUGAACUGUUCAAAGUUCACUAUGUCUUCAGUUUCUCAUAUGAUGAAGCUCUUUGUGAUUUCUACACAUUUAUCCAAACCACCAUCUAUAACAUCGAUGUCGGAAGAGCAAAGCAGAGCCCGCGUGUUAAAGAACUUCGAGCACGAUUGCUGCAGCGAAAUUAACAGCCUUGAAGAUGUUCACGUGUUUUGUAUGUAAAGCACACCUCAGAACUUGUUUGGCUCUUCGUCAACAUUUGAAAUUUCAACAUGGUUUAUAUCCUAGCAAAAAGUUACAUUUAAAAUGUGGAGAGCCAAGUCGCCUGUUAUCAUUUCCAAAACCAUGCACUGUUCUCGCAGCAAAAGCACACUUUACAGAUUCUACUCUAUUACAACGAUUUUGAAAUUGCUAACCCUCUAGGUUGCAAGAGGGGGAUCCACAAACUUGGUUGUAUCUAUUUUACU